Molecule: non-coding RNA, 599 nt
Organism: Nephila pilipes (giant wood spider)
Lineage: Eukaryota; Metazoa; Arthropoda; Arachnida; Araneae; Nephilidae
Source: the annotation of a GenBank genome assembly
UUUGACGAAGAACGAAAGCCAGAGAUUCGAAGGGAAUCAUAUACUGCCCUAGUUCUGACCUUAAACUAUGACAGCCAGCGAUGUGGCUGUGUUUCAGAAACGACGCGCCGGACAACUUCCAGGAAACCAGAGUUUUUCGGUUUCUGGGGAAAAUAUGGUUGCAAAGCUGAAACAAAGGAAUUGACAAAAGGGCAUCAUUAGGGUCGGAUCCUGCGGCUCAAAUGGAUUCAAAUGGCAAAUUCUCCUGGUCCGGACAAGCAAGGAUUGACAGAUUAAAAGCUUCUCCUUGAUUCUGUGGGUGGUGUUGCAGGGCCAUUUGUAGUUCGCAGGCAUGGCUUGUAUGGUUAAUUCCAAUAAUGAACGAGAAUCUAUCCUAUUAAAUAAAUAGGACAGAGCUGUGUGUAGCCACUUUUUACUUUGAGGGAAAUUCGGUUUCUACGAGAAAGAGUAAAAAUAGGUCUGGGGUGACCUUAGACAUCUGGGGUCGCAGGCACGAUACAUUGAAUCAAUCAGCGUGUGUUUUCACUGGCCGAGAGGUCCAGGCAACCCUUUCAAAAUCCUUCAUGCUGAUGAUAGGGGAAUGUAACUUGGCCAAGAAC